RNAcentral lists this ribosomal RNA (253 nucleotides) under uncultured bacterium. RNAcentral's name for it is "partial 16S ribosomal RNA". It matches the Rfam family "Bacterial small subunit ribosomal RNA", at positions 524 to 776 of the family's 1533-position model. The record is from RNAcentral.
UACGAAGGGGGCUAGCGUUGCUCGGAAUCACUGGGCGUAAAGCGCACGUAGGCGGAUUGUUAAGUCAGGGGUGAAAUCCUGGAGCUCAACUCCAGAACUGCCUUUGAUACUGGCGAUCUCGAGUCCGGGAGAGGUGAGUGGAACUGCGAGUGUAGAGGUGAAAUUCGUAGAUAUUCGCAAGAACACCAGUGGCGAAGGCGGCUCACUGGCCCGGUACUGACGCUGGGGUGCGAAAGCGUGGGGAGCAAACAGG